AUUGAACGCUGGCGGCAGGCCUAACACAUGCAAGUCGAACGGUAACAGGAAGCAGCUUGCUGCUUUGCUGACGAGUGGCGGACGGGUGAGUAAUGUCUGGGAAACUGCCUGAUGGAGGGGGAUAACUACUGGAAACGGUAGCUAAUACCGCAUAACGUCGCAAGACCAAAGAGGGGGACCUUCUGGCCUCUUGCCAUCGGAUGUGCCCAGAUGGGAUUAGCUAGUAGGUGGGGUAACGGCUCACCUAGGCGACGAUCCCUAGCUGGUCUGAGAGGAUGACCAGCCACACUGGAACUGAGACACGGUCCAGACUCCUACGGGAGGCAGCAGUGGGGAAUAUUGCACAAUGGGCGCAAGCCUGAUGCAGCCAUGCCGCGUGUAUGAAGAAGGCCUUCGGGUUGUAAAGUACUUUCGGCGGGGAGGAAGGGAAUAAAGUUAAUACCUUUGCUCAUUGACGUUACCCGCAGAAGAAGCACCGGCUAACUCCGUG
This 490-nucleotide ribosomal RNA is filed under the name uncultured bacterium. RNAcentral's name for it is "partial 16S ribosomal RNA". It matches the Rfam family "Bacterial small subunit ribosomal RNA", at positions 30 to 507 of the family's 1533-position model. The record is from RNAcentral.